RNAcentral lists this ribosomal RNA (818 nucleotides) under uncultured bacterium. RNAcentral describes it as "bacterial SSU rRNA". It matches the Rfam family "Bacterial small subunit ribosomal RNA", at positions 57 to 874 of the family's 1533-position model. The record is from RNAcentral.
GCAGUCGAGCGAGAAGUGUAGCAAUACACUUGUAAAGCGGCGAACGGGUGAGGAAUACAUGGGUAAUCUACCAUCGAGUGGGGAAUAACCAGCCGAAAGGUUGGCUAAUACCGCGUACGCCUCCGGAUCUUCGGGUUCGGAGGGAAAGCCGCGCUGUGAGUGCGGCGCUCUUUGAUGAGCUCAUGUCCUAUCAGCUUGUUGGUAGGGUAACGGCCUACCAAGGCUUUGACGGGUAGCUGGUCUGAGAGGACGAUCAGCCACACUGGCACUGCGACACGGGCCAGACUCCUACGGGAGGCAGCAGUAAGGAAUAUUGCGCAAUGGGCGAAAGCCUGACGCAGCGACGCCGCGUGGGGGAUGAAGGUCUUCGGAUUGUAAACCCCUUUCGGGAGGGAAGAUGGAGCGAGCAAUCGUUCGGACGGUACCUCCAGAAGCAGCCACGGCCAACUUCGUGCCAGCAGCCGCGGUAAUACGAAGGUGGCAAGCGUUGUUCGGAUUCACUGGGCGUACAGGGUGUGUAGGCGGUUUGGUAAGCCUUCUGUUAAAGCUUCGGGCCCAACCCGGAAAGCGCAGAGGGUACUGCCAGGCUAGAGGGUGGGAGAGGAGCGCGGAAUUCCCGGUGUAGUGGUGAAAUGCGUAGAGAUCGGGAGGAAGGCCGGUGGUGAAGGCGGUGCUCUGGAACAUACCUGACGCUGAGACACGAAAGCGUGGGGAGCAAACAGGAUUAGAUACCCUGGUAGUCCACGCCCUAAACUAUGGAUACUAAGUGUCGGCGGGGUACCGCCGGUGCCGCAGCUAACGCAUUAAGUAUCCCGCCU